Molecule: ribosomal RNA, 2904 nt
Filed under: Escherichia coli
Lineage: Bacteria; Pseudomonadati; Pseudomonadota; Gammaproteobacteria; Enterobacterales; Enterobacteriaceae
Description: 23S ribosomal RNA
Rfam family: Bacterial large subunit ribosomal RNA
Source: RNAcentral
UUAAGCGACUAAGCGUACACGGUGGAUGCCCUGGCAGUCAGAGGCGAUGAAGGACGUGCUAAUCUGCGAUAAGCGUCGGUGAGGUGAUAUGAACCGUUAUAACCGGCGAUUUCCGAAUGGGGAAACCCAGUGUGUUUCGACACACUAUCAUUAACUGAAUCCAUAGGUUAAUGAGGCGAACCGGGGGAACUGAAACAUCUAAGUACCCCCGAGGAAAAGAAAUCAACCGAGAUUCCCCCAGUAGCGGCGAGCGAACGGGGGAGGAGCCCAGAGCCUGAAUCAGUGUGUGUGUUAGUGGAAGCGUCUGGAAAGGCGCGCGAUACAGGGUGACAGCCCCGUACACAAAAAUGCACAUACUGUGAGCUCGAUGAGUAGGGCGGGACACGUGGUAUCCUGUCUGAAUAUGGGGGGACCAUCCUCCAAGGCUAAAUACUCCUGACUGACCGAUAGUGAACCAGUACCGUGAGGGAAAGGCGAAAAGAACCCCGGCGAGGGGAGUGAAAAAGAACCUGAAACCGUGUACGUACAAGCAGUGGGAGCCUCUUAAUGGGGUGACUGCGUACCUUUUGUAUAAUGGGUCAGCGACUUAUAUUCUGUAGCAAGGUUAACCGAAUAGGGGAGCCGAAGGGAAACCGAGUCUUAACUGGGCGUUAAGUUGCAGGGUAUAGACCCGAAACCCGGUGAUCUAGCCAUGGGCAGGUUGAAGGUUGGGUAACACUAACUGGAGGACCGAACCGACUAAUGUUGAAAAAUUAGCGGAUGACUUGUGGCUGGGGGUGAAAGGCCAAUCAAACCGGGAGAUAGCUGGUUCUCCCCGAAAGCUAUUUAGGUAGCGCCUCGUGAAUUCAUCUCCGGGGGUAGAGCACUGUUUCGGCAAGGGGGUCAUCCCGACUUACCAACCCGAUGCAAACUGCGAAUACCGGAGAAUGUUAUCACGGGAGACACACGGCGGGUGCUAACGUCCGUCGUGAAGAGGGAAACAACCCAGACCGCCAGCUAAGGUCCCAAAGUCAUGGUUAAGUGGGAAACGAUGUGGGAAGGCCCAGACAGCCAGGAUGUUGGCUUAGAAGCAGCCAUCAUUUAAAGAAAGCGUAAUAGCUCACUGGUCGAGUCGGCCUGCGCGGAAGAUGUAACGGGGCUAAACCAUGCACCGAAGCUGCGGCAGCGACACUAUGUGUUGUUGGGUAGGGGGAGCGUUCUGUAAGCCUGUGAAGGUGGCCUGUGAGGGUUGCUGGAGGUAUCAGAAGUGCGAAUGCUGACAUAAGUAACGAUAAAGCGGGUGAAAAGCCCGCUCGCCGGAAGACCAAGGGUUCCUGUCCAACGUUAAUCGGGGCAGGGUGAGUCGACCCCUAAGGCGAGGCCGAAAGGCGUAGUCGAUGGGAAACAGGUUAAUAUUCCUGUACUUGGUGUUACUGCGAAGGGGGGACGGAGAAGGCUAUGUUGGCCGGGCGACGGUUGUCCCGGUUUAAGCGUGUAGGCUGGUUUUCCAGGCAAAUCCGGAAAACCAAGGCUGAGGCGUGAUGACGAGGCACUACGGUGCUGAAGCGACAAAUGCCCUGCUUCCAGGAAAAGCCUCUAAGCAUCAGGUAACAUCAAAUCGUACCCCAAACCGACACAGGUGGUCAGGUAGAGAAUACCAAGGCGCUUGAGAGAACUCGGGUGAAGGAACUAGGCAAAAUGGUGCCGUAACUUCGGGAGAAGGCACGCUGAUAUGUAGGUGAAGCGACUUGCUCGUGGAGCUGAAAUCAGUCGAAGAUACCAGCUGGCUGCAACUGUUUAUUAAAAACACAGCACUGUGCAAACACGAAAGUGGACGUAUACGGUGUGACGCCUGCCCGGUGCCGGAAGGUUAAUUGAUGGGGUUAGCGGUAACGCGAAGCUCUUGAUCGAAGCCCCGGUAAACGGCGGCCGUAACUAUAACGGUCCUAAGGUAGCGAAAUUCCUUGUCGGGUAAGUUCCGACCUGCACGAAUGGCGUAAUGAUGGCGGGGCUGUCUCCACCCGAGACUCAGUGAAAUUGAACUCGCUGUGAAGAUGCAGUGUACCCGCGGCAAGACGGAAAGACCCCGUGAACCUUUACUAUAGCUUGACACUGAACAUUGAGCCUUGAUGUGUAGGAUAGGUGGGAGGCUUUGAAGUGUGGACGCCAGUCUGCAUGGAGCCGACCUUGAAAUACCACCCUUUAAUGUUUGAUGUUCUAACGUUGGCCCGUAAUCCGGGUUGCGGACAGUGUCUGGUGGGUAGUUUGACUGGGGCGGUCUCCUCCUAAAGAGUAACGGAGGAGCACGAAGGUUGGCUAAUCCUGGUCGGACAUCAGGAGGUUAGUGCAAUGGCAUAAGCCAGCUUGACUGCGAGCGUGACGGCGCGAGCAGGUGCGAAAGCAGGUCAUAGUGAUCCGGUGGUUCUGAAUGGAAGGGCCAUCGCUCAACGGAUAAAAGGUACUCCGGGGAUAACAGGCUGAUACCGCCCAAGAGUUCAUAUCGACGGCGGUGUUUGGCACCUCGAUGUCGGCUCAUCACAUCCUGGGGCUGAAGUAGGUCCCAAGGGUAUGGCUGUUCGCCAUUUAAAGUGGUACGCGAGCUGGGUUUAGAACGUCGUGAGACAGUUCGGUCCCUAUCUGCCGUGGGCGCUGGAGAACUGAGGGGGGCUGCUCCUAGUACGAGAGGACCGGAGUGGACGCAUCACUGGUGUUCGGGUUGUCAUGCCAAUGGCACUGCCCGGUAGCUAAAUGCGGAAGAGAUAAGUGCUGAAAGCAUCUAAGCACGAAACUUGCCCCGAGAUGAGUUCUCCCUGAGACUUAGAGUCUCCUGAAGGAACGUUGAAGACGACGACGUUGAUAGGCCGGGUGUGUAAGCGCAGCGAUGCGUUGAGCUAACCGGUACUAAUGAACCGUGAGGCUUAACCU